Molecule: ribosomal RNA, 255 nt
Filed under: uncultured bacterium
Lineage: Bacteria
Description: partial 16S ribosomal RNA
Rfam family: Bacterial small subunit ribosomal RNA
Source: RNAcentral
UACGUAGGGGGGCAAGCGUUGUCCGGAGUUACUGGGCGUAAAGCGCACGCAGGCGGUCGAUUAAGUUUGGAGUGACAGUUGGUGGCUUAACUGCCAAAGUGCUUUGAAAACUUGAUCGACUUGAGGGCUUCAGAGGGACACGGAAUUCCGGGUGGAGUGGUGAAAUGCGUAGAGAUCCGGAGGAACACCGAAGGCGAAGGCAGUGUCCUGGGGAGUACCUGACGCUCAGGUGCGAAAGCCAGGGGAGCGAACGGG